UACGUAGGGGGCUAGCGUUGUCCGGAUUUAUUGGGCGUAAAGAGCGUGUAGGCGGCCAGGUAGGUCUGGUGUGAAAACUCGAGGCUCAACCUCGAGAGGUCGGUGGAAACCGUCUGGCUAGAGUCCGGAAGAGGAGAGUGGAAUUCCCGGUGUAGCGGUGAAAUGCGCAGAUAUCAGGAGGAACACCGGUGGCGAAGGCGGGUCUCUGGGCCGAUACUGACGCUGAGGAGCGAAAGCGUGGGGAGCGAACAGG
This 253-nucleotide ribosomal RNA is filed under the name uncultured bacterium. RNAcentral describes it as "partial 16S ribosomal RNA". It matches the Rfam family "Bacterial small subunit ribosomal RNA", at positions 524 to 776 of the family's 1533-position model. The record is from RNAcentral.